GAUGAAGAACGUAGCGAAAUGCGAUAAGUAAUGCGAAUUGCAGAAUUUCCGUGAGUCAUCGAAUCUUUGAACGCACAUUGCGCCCCCUGGUAUUCCGGGGGGCAUGCCUGUUCGAGCGUCAUUUCACCACUCAAGCCUCGCUUGGUAUUGGGCAACGCGGUCCGCCGCGUGCCUCAAAUCGUCCGGCUGGGUCUUCUGUCCCCUAAGCGUUGUGGAAACUAUUCGCUAAAGGGUGUUCGGGAGGCUACGCCGUAAAACAACCCCAUUUCUAAGGUUGACCUAGGAUCAGGUAGGGAUACCCGCUGAACUUAAGCAUAUCAAUAAGCGGAGGA
This 332-nucleotide unclassified non-coding RNA is filed under the name soil metagenome. RNAcentral's name for it is "partial contains 5.8S ribosomal RNA, internal transcribed spacer 2, and large subunit ribosomal RNA". The stretch from base 1 to 121 matches the Rfam family "5.8S ribosomal RNA", at positions 35 to 154 of the family's 154-position model. The record is from RNAcentral.